This 30-nucleotide non-coding RNA is filed under the name Homo sapiens (human). The record is from RNAcentral. Lineage: Eukaryota; Metazoa; Chordata; Mammalia; Primates; Hominidae.
UGUACAGGGAGUUGACCGAUCCUUUUCACU